UACGGAGGGUCCAAGCGUUAUCCGGAUUCAUUGGGUUUAAAGGGUGCGUAGGCGGCUUAAUAAGUCAGUAGUGAAAGACUGUGGCUCAACCAUAGAAUUGCUAUUGAAACUGUUAAGCUUGAAUCUAGUUGAAGUGGGCGGAACACAUCAUGUAGCGGUGAAAUGCAUAGAUAUGAUGUAGAACGCCGAUUGCGAAGGCA
RNAcentral lists this ribosomal RNA (200 nucleotides) under uncultured bacterium. RNAcentral describes it as "partial 16S ribosomal RNA". It matches the Rfam family "Bacterial small subunit ribosomal RNA", at positions 524 to 723 of the family's 1533-position model. The record is from RNAcentral.